GUUCACAUUUUCAGGUAGGUAGUUAACUUGUUUCGUCAAUUUUUACCUGUAAUUUUUUGCCAGUUCUUCUUUGCUGUUCAUAACAUUCUUUGAUCAAAAAGCAAACUUAGCUAUAAUUUUUUCAAUUGAAUGAUCUUAAGAAAAAUGGGCUGGGUCUAACUCACCCCCGAAAACUAGCUAAAGUAGAGGAGUGCUUAAGGCUUUAUAAGGGUCACAUUACCCUUAUCUCAAACUAAUAUGGGAUAUUAAUAGACCCUCCACCACUCCAAGGACCAAACACCUGGAGCAUGAAACACUUAUGGGAGACCUAUCAUUGGUUGGGGAGGUUUUGAUACUAUCUUAAGAAAAUGGGUUGGGCCUAACUCACACCAAAAGC
RNAcentral lists this unclassified non-coding RNA (376 nucleotides) under Hevea brasiliensis (rubber tree). The record is from RNAcentral. Lineage: Eukaryota; Viridiplantae; Streptophyta; Magnoliopsida; Malpighiales; Euphorbiaceae.